Schistocerca gregaria is the source of this 75-nucleotide non-coding RNA. The record is from the annotation of a RefSeq genome assembly. NCBI's taxonomy places the organism in Eukaryota, Metazoa, Arthropoda, Insecta, Orthoptera, Acrididae.
GCCCUGGGUGGCUCAGUUGGAAAGAGCAUCUGCCAUGUAAGCAGAUCAUCCCGGGAUCGAGUCCCGGCCGGGGCA